ACUCCAUUAAGGUUUUUUGGUACUGAUGUACAGUGUAAAUGAUCCAUUUUGUCUUUCACAAACCAAUAUUCUCUUAAAAUACUUGGCGUUUUAGGUGCAAUUCAGAAUGUAAUAGAGAAGGAGACUCAACCCUCAAGGAAGUUGCAAUCUAAAGGCAAUCUGUCCUUCAAUGGCGAAAUGCUCUGCGAAUGUGAAGUACCUUCCCCACUCCUCUGCAGAGAGAAAUUGCCUUUUGCUUUGGUGCUAUGCAGUGAGAGUGAAGUCCCUGCCCUUAACUAUUAGCUUUAGAGAACAAUUUGAAGAAGAGAUGUUUGAAACUAUUUGCUGA
Molecule: long non-coding RNA, 328 nt
Filed under: Callithrix jacchus (white-tufted-ear marmoset)
Lineage: Eukaryota; Metazoa; Chordata; Mammalia; Primates; Cebidae
Description: lncRNA (ENSCJAG00000079291.1)
Source: RNAcentral